Molecule: long non-coding RNA, 3427 nt
Organism: Homo sapiens (human)
Lineage: Eukaryota; Metazoa; Chordata; Mammalia; Primates; Hominidae
Gene: TFAP2A-AS2
Product: TFAP2A antisense RNA 2
Source: Ensembl
CCUCACCUCCGGAGCACUCCGCCCAGCAGCGACGCGUUGAGACACUCGGGUGGUGAGAGCCGCCGCUGCACUUCCGCCACCGUGACCUUGUACUUCGAGGUGGAGCUGAGGAGCGAGAGGCGACCCGGAACUGAACAGAAGACUUCGUUGGGGUUCACCACGCCGCCGAAGAGGUUGUCCUUGUUAAUAGGGAUGGCGGAGACGGCAUUGCUGUUGGACUUGGACAGGGACACGGGGCCUGCGGAGACAGAGGGGAGGCCGCGUGUUGGGCGUCGUGGAUCACCCCCAAAUCCUGCCCGACCCCGGCCCUCAUCCCGGCCAGGGCCGGAUCCCAGGCUUUGGGCCACAGUCCCCGCUUUUCCGUCCGGCUCUGAAAUUCUGUGGCUCUGCUACUUCCCUUCCUCGGGCUCGAGCCCUUCCCUACCUCACCCGGCGGCCGGGAGGCGGCCCUGCCCUCCCCCAGCCAGCCUGGCCUGCGUUUCUGCCUUGACCCUUUCCCCUUCGCCGUCAAGGGUGCUCUCUAGAGAUGGGUGGUGAAAUUGGUGACCCCUGAGGCGCUGAGCAUCCGAGCGGAGUGGGCCCCAGAUGAGGUCCAGGACCACGGGUUCAGGGUGCAGGGGAGGGAAUUACAUUUGCAAACCGAGAGCAAGUUACUUGUACUUCAGGGGUUUUGCUGGGUGGGGUUUUAGUGUCGGGGAAAAACUGCUUCAAAGACCCAUUAUUAAAAUCAGCCGACAAUUUAGAUGGCUAAAGCACCCUGUAAACGAGCGUUUUAAUUGAGGCACCACGCUGGGAAGUGGUGGAUUUUGUUGUCCACACCACACGUCCCGUCUUUUUGAUAAAUAGGCCCUUUCCUAUGUUCAAUUUUGAAAACGUCUCAGUUUUGGAGAUCCAUUCCAAGGCCAGUUUUGAACUGCGGAGUGGGGAGGGAAGAACAGGCCUACAGUGGAAUACUAGCAAUGUGCCCUUUUGUUAAGUAAAUACUUAACAGUCCUCUGCUAAAGCGCCUUUAUUGGGAAAGUGGGUAUAUAUACUUCCUAGUUAAAACCAUAAGCUCUUUAUUGCUGGACUCACCACUGUUAGAAAAAAAAAAAAUAGAAGACCUGCAGAAAGUAUACUAAUGCAUUACGUUUCUCAGCACCAGUGUAAUUCAGAUGCAUUCACAACCAUUUAAGUACAGUAUGCAUUGUAUUUUAAAAUUCCAUUUGGAGACAUCAUAUGCACACAAUCUCAUCACAGUGUUCCUUAUGCGUUCUUUAAUGGGGAUAUGCUAGAGGUAUAGGGAGGUGGGGGGCUCUAGGUUUUGGAUAGAUCACUUGUGACAUUAAUAGCUCUGGGGAGGCUAAUAGAGACAAUAGGAGUUAAACGAACUCUUGAGAGAUUACUAAUAAAAGAGCCAAUUAUCAUGUCGACUUGGAAAGAGCAUCUCUUAAGAUUUAUCCCUUGCACAUCUAAUUUGACGUGACAAAGACUUCACAGAUGCAAAAAUGAAACUUUAAACUAGCUAACAAUAUACUGAUUGGGGUUAGAAAUGAGAACAGUUUUAUAUAGCAUCGUCCUCUGGUGGUGCCUAGAAUCCUGAAAUGUAACAUUGCCACCAUAACCAAAAAAAAAGCUGCUACCAAGAGUGAAUAGCAUUUAAUUCAGUAAACUUUAUUUCUACUCACUAAACACAAUACAGAUUACAAAUCCAUGCAAAUCACUUGACACUUUUCUAACAAUUUCUCCUCUGAACAAGUAUGCUAAUAUUCCUCCCAUCUUCAAGAUACUAAUUUUAACCAAAAGCUAAAAUUUUGUUAACCUAAUUCACAAAGUUCUAAGACCCUUAAACAGCUAACAAGAAACUAAAUUGAAGAACAUGAAUGUUUUUUUCCUCUACUAAAGAGUGCUUCUUAUCAUCUGUUCUUACAUUAAUGUUAAAUUAUUUGUACUAUUUUAGCAUUAUACACUUCUUAACCUUCAUCCAGGCAAUGGAUUAAACUAUCAAACUGUUUCAAAAUUGAAAUGCCACUUCCAAAUCAGUUCAACUACUGUACAUUUUGUGUGUUUGUCCAAAUAUCAUUAAACUAAAUUAAAUGGUCAAAUCAUGAGUCAGAACAAAGCUAGCCUGUUGGCAUUACCAACAUACUGAAGGCUGAUUAUUUAAGCAUUGCUGUUCUGUGCCUAUCUAUUUGCUAAUUCUGAGCCUUUAGGAAAUCCUAUUUGGAAAAAAUAAACACAUCUCUGCAAGUUCUUUUAAAUAGCACUCUGCCUGUAAGGACAUGCUUGGAAUGCAGAAGGAAAUGGCUUACCUUUCUUAAUUACAGUUUGAUCUGGGAUGUUAAUACCCGGGUCUUCUACAUGCUGCAACAAAAGGAUACACAUGGAUGUAAGUGUAUCAUCAAAACAAAAGGAAAUGAAUAUUCCCUGCAAGAUGGGAGGAGGGGAAGGUGUAGAAUCAAAAUUCCCCCUCCCGUAUAAUGACAUUUAUAUAUAAACAUCUCAUCUUGGCUUAUUGGAAUUUGGGGCUUUGCAACUCAAGAGGUUUCACUGCACACCCAUGGCCAAUUUCUCCUCCUCCAGCAAAUAAUCCAUGUUUAAAAGGGGUGGAGAUGGGGAAUAAAACUUUCUUUGGAAAUUAAAUCAAGUGUUGGAGCACCUAAUCAUUCUCAGUCAGUUCAACAUUUAGAAAUGUACCUAGCUUUAGAUUGGCGCCUCAGCGGCUUCUGACUUUAGCAAUUCCAGUGUUCAGGCAGCGAAAGCCAGGGAAACACAAUAGAAAUGACAGGGGCGGGAGUAACAGGAGAGUGUUGGAAAAGAAAAGGUUUAGGUAGUAUAAUAAAGAGCAAACACACACACCUUUAUGGAAAACUCCACAUAAAUUUUUAGAAAGACUACUGCCUAAGCCUGGGUAUGAUAGGAAUAUGAAAAUGACCAAAACCAAAAAACCUUUGAGCUUGCUUUCCUGUUGUCCAACAGCAGGUUUGUUGUUAGUGUGGGGUGUUUUUCUUUUUCUUUUCUUUUUUUUUUUUUUUUUUACAGAUGGAUGGGUAUACGUGUGCGCACUAGAGUCAAAACGUGAUUAGAAAGUAAAAUGAAGUCAUGUUUUCUAAUGCAGAAACUGACAGGCAAUAUAAUGUCUGGCUGUGUUUACAAAUUAGCACCAGGGCUGCUGAGAUAGAAGAUUUUGCAAUCAUUACCAAACACAGGCAUUACCAUUUAAAAAACUAUUGCUUCCUUCUCUAGUCUUUGUCCAACAAUAAUACUGAUUCGAACAUUUUCCAUUCUGUCUUGGAUUUAUGCUCCUGUUAAUUGUGCCUGAUCGCAAUGAUUCCGGGUGGAUGGUACUAAGUUGCUUUAUUACAGGUUUUAUUAUACUCAAUGCUCUCAUUUGUAACUUGCCUAAAGUGCUUCUGGAUUUAAGUAUAAUUAAAUUGAGAAAUGUUCA